AUGGCCACCGCCUCGCUCGCCGUCCGCUCGGCCUUCGGUGUCGCCCUGGCCGCCUUGAUCGCGGCGCGUGCCGUCCGGCGGCGUUCGCUGGACGCCUCCGGCGGAGCUGCUGGGUUCGCCGUGAUGGCGCUCCACCUUGCCUGCGGCUAUAGGUACGGUGCGCUGCUGCUGGCUUUCUUCUUCACCUCGUCCAAGGUGACCAAGAUCGGCGAGGACCGCAAGCGGCGCGUUGAGGAGGAUUUCAAGGAGGGUGGCCAGCGCAACUGGAUCCAAGUUCUUGCAAAUAGUGCAAUAGCAACUGUAUUGGUUAUCCUAUUGGCGAUAAUGACUGGGGGUCAAGAUCAAUGCUUGGACUCAAAUGGUUCAAAGGUUAUAACUGGUAUAAUAGGUGCUAUUAUUGGCCAUUAUUGCUGCUGCAAUGGAGACACUUGGUCAUCUGAAAUCGGUGUGCUUAGUGAUGAACAACCAAGGCUUGUCACUACCCUGAAGCCUGUCAGGAAAGGUACAAAUGGUGGAGUGACCUUACAAGGACUUCUUGCUGCCACAGCAGGUGGUCUAACCAUUGGUCUGACUUUUGUUGCUGUUGGACUGAUGACAGCUGAAUGUUCUUUUGAUAUGUUGUUUCAACAGCUCCUAGUAAUACCUAUCUCUGCUGCUGCUGGUUUGCUUGGGAGUCUAAUUGAUUCAUUGCUGGGUGCCACACUUCAGUUCAGCGGAUACUGCAGUGUUCGGAACAAGGUGGUCAGUAAACGGGGACCUACUGUCACCAAGAUUUCUGGAAUGACUAUCCUGGAUAAUGAUGCUGUUAAUGCAGUGUCUGUGCUGCUAACAUCGGUGAUUACAGCUUAUGCCUGCAUUUUCUUCUUCUAG
Molecule: ribosomal RNA, 870 nt
Filed under: Triticum aestivum (bread wheat)
Lineage: Eukaryota; Viridiplantae; Streptophyta; Magnoliopsida; Poales; Poaceae
Description: partial small subunit ribosomal RNA
Source: RNAcentral